GUAGAUAUAAGUUAAGUUUAAACUGUUAGUUUUCAAAACUGAGAAUUUUUCUAUAUU
Molecule: transfer RNA, 57 nt
Filed under: Gnathostoma spinigerum
Lineage: Eukaryota; Metazoa; Nematoda; Chromadorea; Rhabditida; Gnathostomatidae
Description: tRNA-Trp
Source: RNAcentral